AGCGAACGCUGGCGGCAGGCCUAACACAUGCAAGUCGAACGAACCUAUCGGGGUUAGUGGCGGACGGGGGAGUAACACGUCGGAACGUGCCUUUAGGUUCGGAAUAACUCAGGGAAACUUGUGCUAAUACCGAAUGUGCCCUUCGGGGGAAAGAUUUAUCGCCCUUAGAGCGGCCGGCGUCUGAUUAGCUAGUUGGUUGAGGUAAUGGCUCACCAAGGCGACGUUCAGUAGCUGGUAAGUGAGGAUGAUCAGCCACUUUUGGACUAGGACACAGCCCAGACUCCUACGGGAUGCGGCAGUGGGUGAUCUUGCGAAACCGGCUAAGUGCUGACGGACCCAGGCUGCUAGAACGAUGUUGGUCUGAAAGAUGUAAAGUUCUUUCACCGGGGACGAUAAUGACGGUACCCGAAGAAGAAGCCCCGGCUAACUUCGUG
This 434-nucleotide ribosomal RNA is filed under the name uncultured bacterium. Its description in RNAcentral is "partial 16S ribosomal RNA". It matches the Rfam family "Bacterial small subunit ribosomal RNA", at positions 29 to 507 of the family's 1533-position model. The record is from RNAcentral.